Molecule: long non-coding RNA, 545 nt
Filed under: Equus caballus (horse)
Lineage: Eukaryota; Metazoa; Chordata; Mammalia; Perissodactyla; Equidae
Description: lncRNA (ENSECAG00000059625.1)
Rfam family: TrkB IRES (bases 435-545)
Source: RNAcentral
GGGAAGACGGAUUCUCAGACAAGGCUUGCGAAUGCCCCGCAGCCAUCAUUUAACUGCGCCUGCAGAGCAGUUAAGAGCUGAACCGAGCCGGGUUUCCAUUUCAAAAAAGGAGACAGCCUCUACUGCGAAUGUAGAAGAGACCGAGGUGUGAAUUAGGGACCAGGAGGCGUCGAGCGGCGGAACGGUCCAUCUCAGAGACUAAUUUUCUGGAGUUUCUGCCCCUGCUCUGCGUCAGCCCUCACGUCACUUCGCCAGCAGUAGCAGAGGCGGCGGCGGCGGCGGCGGCUGCUCCCGGAAUUGGGUUGGAGCAGGAGCCUCGCUCGCUCCUUCGCUCGCGCUCUCCGCGCUCAGUCCCCGGCGGCAGGAGGAGCCUGGACCCAGGCGCCUCCGGCGGGCAAUAGGCGCCGGAGCCCGGCCUGGAGGUGCGUCCCGGAUCCCAGUGUACGUCUAGCAAGGAGGCUGCGCCCCAGAGAGUCCGGGGAGCGCCGCCGGCUGGUGCCCGGCGCGCCAGGCCAUGCAACGGCGGCAGCGGCGGAGCUCAGAAC